GUAGGUGGCAAGCGUUGUCCGGAAUUAUUGGGCGUAAAGCGCGCGCAGGUGGUUCUUUAAGUCUGAUGUGGAAGCCCCCGGCUCAACCGGGGAGGGCCAUUGGAAACUGGGGAACUUGAGUGCAGGAGAGGAAAGUGGAAUUCCACGUGUAGCGGUGAAAUGCGUAGAUAUGUGGAGGAACACCAGUGGCGAAGGCGACUUUCUGGCCUGUAACUGACACUGAGGCGCGAAAGCGUGGGGAGCAAACAGGGAUUAGAUACCCUGGUAGUCCACGCCGUAAACGAUGAGUGCUAAGUGUUGGGGGGGUUUCCCGCCCCGUCAGUGCUGCAGCUAACGCAUUAAGCACUCCGCCCUGGGGAGUACGGUCGCAAGACUG
Molecule: ribosomal RNA, 376 nt
Filed under: uncultured organism
Description: partial 16S ribosomal RNA
Rfam family: Bacterial small subunit ribosomal RNA
Source: RNAcentral